AGAGUUAAAGAGCUCGGCAGCUGUUUGGUCACUGGCACUGGCCUCCACUGAGAGGGACAUGGGUAGGGAGGACACGUCUUUUGCAAGGAAAGACAGUAAACUGAGAUUUGGAGCCCAGGGAAAGGUAUCUAACUUAUCCUAGGAGAAAAAGAAAACGGCUAUGAAAUUCUCUAAUUUUUCCUGACUUGCUUAUAUGAGAGCCUAAGAUUUUUCAGGUUUGAAGGAAAAGAAUAAGCACUCCUAGACAAAACAACAAAGUAGUAGUGGGGGACUGGCCAAAUGUCCAGUCUGUGUGCAUUGUGGUCAAUCUUAUCCAACUAAAACAGACCAAAAUGACAGUAAGCCCAAAUCCUGCAAAUAGAGCUCCCCAUUCCUAACCCCCUAGGC
This 387-nucleotide long non-coding RNA is filed under the name Homo sapiens (human). Its description in RNAcentral is "non-protein coding lnc-PRR29-5:2". The record is from RNAcentral. Lineage: Eukaryota; Metazoa; Chordata; Mammalia; Primates; Hominidae.